AAGAGACGUUGCCCUUCGGGGUAUACCUCCCACCCUUUGUUUAUUAUACCUUUGUUGCUUUGGCGGGCCCGUCCUCGGACCACCGGCUUCUGCUGGUCAGUGCCCGCCAGAGGACCUAAAACUCUGUUUGUUAACUAUUGUCUGAGUACUAUAUAAUAGUUUA
RNAcentral lists this unclassified non-coding RNA (163 nucleotides) under soil metagenome. RNAcentral's name for it is "partial internal transcribed spacer 1". The record is from RNAcentral.